AUCAACAACAACCCAAAAAAUAAAUAAAAAAAUUGCGUAAUCGCCUUCCAAAAGGCCGGUUUUUAGAAACAGGCAUAAUUAUAAAAUAUUUUUAAUGUCCCAGAGUUUUUAUUUUAGGGAUUGUAACAAAGUAUUUGUGUAAAGCAGAUGUGGGCACAUGUCUAAAAGGGAUGAAAAUUAUAAACAUAUGAGUUUAACAUUUAUG
Molecule: non-coding RNA, 205 nt
Organism: Pelobates cultripes (western spadefoot toad)
Lineage: Eukaryota; Metazoa; Chordata; Amphibia; Anura; Pelobatidae
Source: the annotation of a GenBank genome assembly